This 27-nucleotide non-coding RNA is filed under the name Cricetulus griseus (Chinese hamster). Lineage: Eukaryota; Metazoa; Chordata; Mammalia; Rodentia; Cricetidae. The record is from RNAcentral.
AUUGACUUUCAGAGAUCUCUACAGAAA